ACUGUGAGUAUUUCCACUACCUUUGGUUCCUUAAAUAUUCCUAAUGUUUUACUUGUUCCCAAACUAAAGAAACAACUCAUAUAUGUAUCUCAAUUUGCUAAAGAUUUUAAGUGUUGUUUUGAGUUUACCCAUUAUGGUUGUGUUGUGAAGGAUCUAUAAAGUGGGAAGGUGAUUGCUGAGGGGGUGCUGAGAGAAGGUUUGUAUGUGCUUCAAAAUGAUCAACUCU
This 226-nucleotide long non-coding RNA is filed under the name Amborella trichopoda. RNAcentral's name for it is "long non-coding RNA (ATRI_LNC004669)". The record is from RNAcentral. Lineage: Eukaryota; Viridiplantae; Streptophyta; Magnoliopsida; Amborellales; Amborellaceae.